Molecule: ribosomal RNA, 234 nt
Filed under: uncultured bacterium
Lineage: Bacteria
Description: partial 16S ribosomal RNA
Rfam family: Bacterial small subunit ribosomal RNA
Source: RNAcentral
ACUCCUACGGGAGGCAGCAGUGGGGAAUAUUGGACAAUGGGGAAACCCGUGAUCCAGCAAUGCCGCGUGUGUGAAGAAGGCCUGAGGUUGUAAAGCACUUUCAACUGUGAGGAUUGGGAUUUUGGUUAAUACCCGAGAUCCUUGACGUUAGCAGUAGAAGAAGCACCGGCUAACUCCGUGCCAGCAGCCGCGGUAAUACGGAGGGUGCAAGCGUUAAUCGGAAUUACUGGGCGU